AUAAUGGGAAUAGGAAUGGGAAAUGGGAAUGGGAAUGGGAAUGGGAGGAGGGAACGGUGGAAGAGGGGAAUCGAUGGAAGAGGGGAGAUGGGAAUGGGAAAUGGGAGGAGGGCACGGUGGAAUGGGAAAUGGGAAUGGGUAUUGCAUGGGAAUGGGAAAUGGGAGAAGGAUACGGUGGAAGAGGGGAAUGAUGGAAGAAGGGAGAUGGGAUUUCAUUGUAUUUAAAUUUUUAAAAAUAAAAAAAU
Molecule: long non-coding RNA, 245 nt
Filed under: Gossypium raimondii (Peruvian cotton)
Lineage: Eukaryota; Viridiplantae; Streptophyta; Magnoliopsida; Malvales; Malvaceae
Description: long non-coding RNA (GRAI_LNC000653)
Source: RNAcentral